AACCCAAAAGAUCGAAUGGGGAGAUUCAUCGUCAGCUUUAUCGGCUUGCGUGCUGCUCGCGAUGCUCGUUGGGUGUAGCGUUGGUAACAGCGUUGCAUUUUCUACGGGGACGCGGUGGCUGCGUAAUUUUUGUCCGGUCAAAGUCGGCGUGCACUUCUCCCCUAGUAGGACGUCGCGACCCGUUGAGUGUCGGUUUAAGGCCCGCGAGGUUGCCUGCCGGUCGAUU
RNAcentral lists this ribosomal RNA (226 nucleotides) under Megaphragma longiciliatum. RNAcentral's name for it is "partial large subunit ribosomal RNA". Lineage: Eukaryota; Metazoa; Arthropoda; Insecta; Hymenoptera; Trichogrammatidae. The record is from RNAcentral.